This 254-nucleotide ribosomal RNA is filed under the name uncultured bacterium. RNAcentral describes it as "partial 16S ribosomal RNA". It matches the Rfam family "Bacterial small subunit ribosomal RNA", at positions 524 to 776 of the family's 1533-position model. The record is from RNAcentral.
UACGUAGGGCGCAAGCGUUGUCCGGAAUUAUUGGGCGUAAAGAGCUCGUAGGCGGUGUGUCACGUCGGCCGUGAAAACCUGCAGCUUAACUGUGGGCGUGCGGUCGAUACGGGCAUCACUGGAGUUCGGCAGGGGAGACUGGAAUUCCUGGUGUAGCGGUGAAAUGCGCAGAUAUCAGGAGGAACACCGGUGGCGAAGGCGGGUCUCUGGGCCGAUACUGACGCUGAGGAGCGAAAGCGUGGGGAGCAAACAGG